AAAUAAAAAAAAAUUAUUAUAAUUAUUAUUAAAAAUUAAAUUAAAAUAAGAAAAUUUUAUUUUAUUAUUCUUUAGAAAAAAUUUUAUUAAUUAUAGUUUAUUAGUAUUGUGAAAGAAAUUUUAUUUUAUAAAAAAAGAAGAAUUAUAUUUUUGUACCUUGUGUAUCAGGGUUUAUUAAAUAAUUUUAAAAUUUUAAAUUUCUCGAAUUUGGAAGAGUUAAUUAAAUAUUUUUUUUAAUGUAUAAUAAUUAUUAAAAAUAUUUGGUUAGAAAUGAAACGUUAAUCGUUUUCAAAUAUAUCUAGUUAUAGAAGAAAAAAAUUUAAUUAGUUUAUUAUUAAUAUUUAAUUAAUUAUUUAUUUUAAUAUUAAUAAUAGGUUAUAUUAUUAGGGAUGAGCUUAAUAAUAUAAAAUUAAAAAAAUAUUAGUUUUUUUGAAUAAUAAGAUUAGAAGUGUCUAUUUUAAAAAUAAUGUUAUAAUUAAUCUAAUAAAUAUAAAAUUUAUAUUAUUUUUAAGUUAUUUAUUUUAUUAUAUUUAAGAAUUUUUAAUAAUUAGUAAUAAUGAUAAAAUUAGUAUUUUAAAAUUUUUAUUAAUAAAUAUAAAAAAUUUAGGUUAAAUAAAGGAAUUCGGCAAUUUAUUUUUCACCUGUUUAUUAAAAACAUGGCCUUUUGUUUAAAAUUUAAGGUCUCACCUGCCCACUGAAAAAAUUUGAAUGGCCGCAGUAUUUUGACUGUGCAAAGGUAGCAUAAUCAUUAGUUUUUUAAUUAAAAGCUGGAAUGAAGGGUUGAAUGAAAAAAAAACUGUCUCUAUUUAAUUUAUAGAAUAAUUUUAUUUUUAAGUUAAAAAGCUUAAAUUAUUUUGAAAGACGAGAAGACCCUAUAGAGUUUUAUAAAAUUUUAUUAAUAAAAUUUUUGGAAAUUUAAAAUAAAAUAAUCAAAUUUUAUUUAAUUGGGGUGAUUGAAAAAUUUAAUAAACUUUUUUUAAAUUAAAACAUUAAUUUAUGAAAAUUUGAUCCAUUAUUUAUGAUUAAAAGAUAAAAUUACCUUAGGGAUAACAGCGUAAUAUUUUUUUAGAGUUCAAAUCGAAAAAAGAGAUUGCGACCUCGAUGUUGGAUUAAAAUUAAUUCUUGGUGUAGAAGUUAGGAAUAUUUGGUCUGUUCGACCAUUAAAAUUUUACAUGAUCUGAGUUUAAACCGGUGUGAGCCAGGUUGGUUUCUAUCUUUAAUAAAAAAUAAUAUUUUAGUACGAAAGGACCAAAUAUUAAAAAUAAUUUUUUAUUAUGAAUAUUAUU
This 1286-nucleotide ribosomal RNA is filed under the name Leptura arcuata. RNAcentral describes it as "large subunit ribosomal RNA". The stretch from base 1046 to 1205 matches the Rfam family "Archaeal large subunit ribosomal RNA", at positions 2542 to 2701 of the family's 2987-position model. Lineage: Eukaryota; Metazoa; Arthropoda; Insecta; Coleoptera; Cerambycidae. The record is from RNAcentral.